This 328-nucleotide unclassified non-coding RNA is filed under the name soil metagenome. RNAcentral describes it as "partial contains 5.8S ribosomal RNA, internal transcribed spacer 2, and large subunit ribosomal RNA". The stretch from base 1 to 119 matches the Rfam family "5.8S ribosomal RNA", at positions 35 to 154 of the family's 154-position model. The record is from RNAcentral.
GAUGAAGAACGCAGCGAAAUGCGAUAAGUAAUGUGAAUUGCAGAAUUCAGUGAAUCAUCGAAUCUUUGAACGCACAUUGCGCCCUCUGGUAUUCCGGGGGCAUGCCUGUUCGAGCGUCAUUAUAACCACUCAAGCUCUCGCUUGGUAUUGGGGUUCGCGGUUCCGCGGCCCCUAAAAUCAGUGGCGGUGCCUGUCGGCUCUACGCGUAGUAAUACUCCUCGCGAUUGAGUCCGGUAGGUCUACUUGCCAGCAACCCCCAAUUUUUACAGGUUGACCUCGGAUCAGGUAGGGAUACCCGCUGAACUUAAGCAUAUCAAUAAGCGGAGGA